GUACCGUGAGGGAAAGGUGAAAAGCACCCCGGGAGGGGAGUGAAAUAGAACCUGAAACCGUGUGCCUACAACAAGUUCGAGCCCGUUAAUGGGUGAGAGCGUGCCUUUUGUAGAAUGAACCGGCGAGUUACGUUAUGAUGCGAGGUUAAGUUGAAGAGACGGAGCCGUAGGGAAACCGAGUCUGAAUAGGGCGCCUUAGUAUCAUGACGUAGACCCGAAACCAUGUGACCUACCCAUGAGCAGGUUGAAGGUGCGGUAAGACGCACUGGAGGACCGAACCAGGGCACGUUGAAAAGUGCUUGGAUGACUUGUGGGUAGCGGAGAAAUUCCAAACGAACUUGGAGAUAGCUGGUUCUCUCCGAAAUAGCUUUAGGGCUAGCGUCGACAUUAGAGAUUCUUGGAGGUAGAGCACUGUUUGGGUGAGGGGUCCAUCCCGGAUUACCAAUCUCAGAUAAACUCCGAAUGCCAAUGAAUUAUGGUCGGCAGUCAGACUGCGAGUGCUAAGAUCCGUAGUCGAAAGGGAAACAGCCCAGACCACCAGCUAAGGUCCCAAAAUAAUUGUUAAGUGGAAAAGGAUGUGGGGUUGCACAGACAACUAGGAUGUUAGCUUAGAAGCAGCUAUUCAUUCAAAGAGUGCGUAAUAGCUCACUAGUCGAGUGACCCUGCGCCGAAAAUGUACCGGGGCUAAAACAAUUUACCGAAGCUGUGGAUACCUUUAUAGGUAUGGUAGGAGAGCGUUCUAUGUGUGAUGAAGGUAUACCGUGAGGAGUGCUGGAACGCAUAGAAGUGAGAAUGCCGGUAUGAGUAGCGAAAGACAGGUGAGAAUCCUGUCCACCGUAAGACUAAGGUUUCCAGGGGAAGGCUCGUCCGCCCUGGGUUAGUCGGGACCUAAGGAGAGACCGAAAGGUGUAUCCGAUGGACAACAGGUUGAUAUUCCUGUACUAGAGUAUGUAGUGAUGGAGGGACGCAGUAGGCUAACUAAAGCAGACGAUUGGAAGAGUCUGUCUAAGCAGUGAGGUGUGAAUUGAGUCAAAUGCUUAAUUCUAUAACAUUGAGCUGUGAUGGGGAGCGAAGUUUAGUAGCGAAGUUAGUGACGUCACACUGCCAAGAAAAGCUUCUAGCGUUUAAACAUACUCUACCCGUACCGCAAACCGACACAGGUAGUCGAGGCGAGUAGCCUCAGGUGAGCGAGAGAACUCUCGUUAAGGAACUCGGCAAAAUGACCCCGUAACUUCGGGAGAAGGGGUGCUGACUUUAAGUCAGCCGCAGUGAAUAGGCCCAAGCAACUGUUUAUCAAAAACACAGCUCUCUGCUAAAUCGUAAGAUGAUGUAUAGGGGGUGACGCCUGCCCGGUGCUGGAAGGUUAAGAGGAGUGCUUAGCGUAAGCGAAGGUAUGAAUUGAAGCCCCAGUAAACGGCGGCCGUAACUAUAACGGUCCUAAGGUAGCGAAAUUCCUUGUCGGGUAAGUUCCGACCCGCACGAAAGGCGUAAUGAUUUGGGCACUGUCUCAACGAGAGACUCGGUGAAAUUUUAGUACCUGUGAAGAUGCAGGUUACCCGCGACAGGACGGAAAGACCCCAUGGAGCUUUACUGCAGUUUGAUAUUGAGUGUCUGUACCACAUGUACAGGAUAGGUAGGAGUCUAAGAGAUCGGGACGCCAGUUUCGAAGGAGACGCUGUUGGGAUACUACCCUUGUGUUAUGGCCACUCUAACCCAGAUAGGUGAUCCCUAUCGGAGACAGUGUCUGACGGGCAGUUUGACUGGGGCGGUCGCCUCCUAAAAGGUAACGGAGGCGCCCAAAGGUUCCCUCAGAAUGGUUGGAAAUCAUUCGCAGAGUGUAAAGGUAUAAGGGAGCUUGACUGCGAGAGCUACAACUCGAGCAGGGACGAAAGUCGGGCUUAGUGAUCCGGUGGUUCCGUAUGGAAGGGCCAUCGCUCAACGGAUAAAAGCUACCCUGGGGAUAACAGGCUUAUCUCCCCCAAGAGUUCACAUCGACGGGGAGGUUUGGCACCUCGAUGUCGGCUCGUCGCAUCCUGGGGCUGUAGUCGGUCCCAAGGGUUGGGCUGUUCGCCCAUUAAAGCGGCACGCGAGCUGGGUUCAGAACGUCGUGAGACAGUUCGGUCCCUAUCCGUCGCGGGCGUAGGAAAUUUGAGAGGAUCUGCUCCUAGUACGAGAGGACCAGAGUGGACUUACCGCUGGUGUACCAGUUGUCUUGCCAAAGGCAUCGCUGGGUAGCUAUGUAGGGAAGGGAUAAACGCUGAAAGCAUCUAAGUGUGAAACCCACCUCAAGAUGAGAUUUCCCAUGAUUAUAUAUCAGUAAGAGCCCUGAGAGAUGAUCAGGUAGAUAGGUUAGAAGUGGAAGUGUGGCGACACAUGUAGCGGACUAAUACUAAUAGCUCGAGGACUUAUCCAA
RNAcentral lists this ribosomal RNA (2413 nucleotides) under Streptococcus pneumoniae. RNAcentral's name for it is "partial 23S ribosomal RNA". It matches the Rfam family "Bacterial large subunit ribosomal RNA", at positions 498 to 2925 of the family's 2925-position model. The record is from RNAcentral. Lineage: Bacteria; Bacillati; Bacillota; Bacilli; Lactobacillales; Streptococcaceae.